UACGUAGGGUGCGAGCGUUGUCCGGAAUUACUGGGCGUAAAGGGCUCGUAGGUGGCCAACUAAGUCAGACGUGAAAUCCCUCAGCUUAACUGGGGAACUGCGUCUGAUACUGGAUGGCUUGAGUUCGGGAGAGGGAUGCGGAAUUCCAGGUGUAGCGGUGAAAUGCGUAGAUAUCUGGAGGAACACCGGUGGCGAAGGCGGCAUCCUGGACCGACACUGACACUGAGGAGCGAAAGCCAGGGGAGCAAACGGG
This 253-nucleotide ribosomal RNA is filed under the name uncultured bacterium. RNAcentral describes it as "partial 16S ribosomal RNA". It matches the Rfam family "Bacterial small subunit ribosomal RNA", at positions 524 to 776 of the family's 1533-position model. The record is from RNAcentral.